GAUGAACGCUAGCGGCAGGCUUAACACAUGCAAGUCGAGGGGUAGAGUUCUUCGGGACUUGAGACCGGCGCACGGGUGCGUAACGCGUAUGCAAUCUACCUUUCACAGAGGGAUAGCCCAGAGAAAUUUGGAUUAAUACCUCAUAGUAUUACGAGAUGGCAUCAUUUUGUAAUUAAAGUCACAACGGUGAAAGAUGAGCAUGCGUCCCAUUAGCUAGUUGGUAUGGUAACGGCAUACCAAGGCUACGAUGGGUAGGGGUCCUGAGAGGGAGAUCCCCCACACUGGUACUGAGACACGGACCAGACUCCUACGGGUGGCAG
This 320-nucleotide ribosomal RNA is filed under the name uncultured Bacteroidota bacterium. Its description in RNAcentral is "bacterial SSU rRNA". It matches the Rfam family "Bacterial small subunit ribosomal RNA", at positions 28 to 351 of the family's 1533-position model. The record is from RNAcentral. Lineage: Bacteria; Pseudomonadati; Bacteroidota.